AGAGAGAGAGAGAGAGAAGUUUACAAGGGGAACUUUUUUGUUUUGUUUUGUCGAAGGCGUUAGAAUUUAAAAAAAACGCAGGACUCCCGCGCCAUUGCUGAUCAAACACUGCGGGGUGGGUGGGUGAGAGUCUGAGAAGACCCCCCCCCCCGCCCCACCACCAAAAAAAAAACCCUCGGCACAAACCCCUUCAACAAGUCAAGGAAGAAAAAACAAGCGCUGGAACUUUUCAGAAGAUUCCACCUCUUCUGCAUAUGGAGAGAAAAUGCACAAGUGCCACCUGAUGGGAUAGAACUAAGAUGGUGACAGGCGUCUUCCCUUUGAGGAAAGCCGGGACUGAAGAGAGAGGCGCCUCCUGCGUUGAGGGCCUUCGGUUGAAGGGCACAGGCGGUGCCAGCCAAGAGAAACAAAAGGAAUAGUCUCAACCCGAAAUACAGCGGUCAGUAGACAGAGAGAAAAAACCCCCCAGUACUGAAAGAUACAGGCUAAAGGGAAAAAUGCUGAAUGCAGGGGUGAGGGGCCCGAUACCCCGAGAUCCAGGAAUUCUUGAAUGAGGGAUUUGGCAAAAUCACGACUGAAAUCCAAGAGUGGGAAGAAUUCUUCCAUGAGGAAGGCUACCAGCACCUGCAGUGAAGCUCCAGCAGAUACAGCAGCAAAGGGAAUGUAAGAUGGCUGCUCCAUGGUGCUGCACACGAAGGAUGAGGAGUAACUUCCCCUCAGCAAACUCAUCGGGGUAAACGCGCAGGAAACACAACCUGGCUACCUUUUUUUAAAUUUGCUGUCUAUAUAUUUUUAUUCCACUGCGUCUUAGGAUGUGAGUGAUGUUAACAAAGCCAAUUUUUAUUGCCCAUUCCUAGUGUCCCUGUUAGCAUUGUGAUUCAGCCGUGUAGCAUGUAACUGGUCAACAUGCAGAUCAGAUUGAAUAGGGGCGAUGGGUUCCUCUCCCUCAAGGGCAUGAGGUGAAUUAGCUGGGAUCUUAGAACAAUCCAGCAGAUUUCAUUGGUCAGCGUCCAGUUCCAAUUCAAUGAUUGAUUGAAUUCCAUUUCACAAUGCACCCUGGUGGGAUUCGACCCCUUGACUUUUCUAGCGCAGCUCUAUAAAUGAUCGGUCACCAUAUCAACUCAAUACACAUACAUGACCCAAAUUUCAAAAUCCAGUUAAAUUUACCAUAAAAUUCCAAACGUUAAAGCAUAUUGAACAAAAUUGUAAACAACAUAAAAAAUCCAGAAUAUACUACAAAUGUUAAAAAAUGAGCCUAAGGUCAUGAAGUUCUUUAAAGAGUAGUCAAUGCAUGGAAUGGAACUCUGAGGAGAGGAAUGGAGGCAAAAUCCAUGGGUCAUUGGAGAGACAGUUGCCGGGUGCAGCAGGAAGAUUGUGGGAUCAUUGAGUGAUGAUGAGCUUCUGUUGUCAAAUAUCUCCUAGCCUACAAAUUGCUCUUGGUUGGAUUAAUAGACAAAUGGAUGAGUUCUUACAACAUUCCCUUAUCCAUUCUUUCAAUGGAGACAUUUAAGCUGGGCACUCUAAAGGGGUCAGUGGUUCCUCGAGGAAUAUUAAACACAGCUGUGCACCCCCACAAGGCUCACCAAGAAAAAUGUUGUUGUCAACUGCAGUUUCUCAAACUCUCAGGGAGAUAUCUGUACACUGGCUGGUGUCUCUCAGUCCCCUCUCUCUCAGGGAGAUAUCUGUACAAGGACUGGUGCUCAAACCCUCACUC
Molecule: long non-coding RNA, 1714 nt
Organism: Carcharodon carcharias (great white shark)
Lineage: Eukaryota; Metazoa; Chordata; Chondrichthyes; Lamniformes; Lamnidae
Exons: 4
Source: RefSeq, a predicted model, not a curated record